Molecule: ribosomal RNA, 421 nt
Filed under: uncultured archaeon
Lineage: Archaea
Description: partial 16S ribosomal RNA
Rfam family: Archaeal small subunit ribosomal RNA
Source: RNAcentral
CUACGGGCCGCUCCAGUUAGGAAUAAUCUACAAUGCGCGAAAGCGUGAUAGUUUGAGCCAGAGUGCUUUUCAUAUGAAAAGCUUUUGUGAAAUGUAAAAAGUUUUACGAAUAAGGACUGGGUAAGACUAGUGCCAGCCGCCGCGGUAAUACUAGCGGUCCAAGUCGCAGCCAUUUUUAUUGGGUCUAAAACAUCCGUAGCUUGCUUAUUAAGUUUCUUGUGAAAUUUUGUAUCUUAAAUAUGAAGCGUGCAAGAAGUACUGGUAAGCUAGAGACUGGAAGACGUAAGAAGUAUGUUCAAAGUAGCGGUAAAAUGUUUUAAUCUUGAGCAGACUUACAAUAGCGAAGGCAUCUUACGAGGACAGUUCUGACAGUAAGGGAUGAAGGCUAGGGGCGCAAAACGGAUUAGAUACCCCCGUAGUC